ACACUUUGUCAUACCCUUUGGCGUCUGUAUGAGACGCACCGGGCUUUCAACUAACUCCAAUGUAAACCCAUCUGUGUCAUUAUUAGACGCCAUGAGACUGAUGACUGAUGACGUCUGUACAAGUUGAACACAGCUUUGGGUGGAGACUACACGGACCUCAAAUGAAGGCGGACAGCACCUCCUUCCUGUUAAAAAGACGGACAGUGCGUCCGUCCAAUCAGCGAUGAUCCUUGUCAGUGGGAGAGCGUCCAAUCAGCAACAAGCUUUGUCGAUAGCAGGUACCUACCUUUUCCGGUAGAAGUUAGUGUUGCUGUGUUGUCAACUUCUACGGGGCCACCGUACAUCUGUCUCUGUUGAGGAACCAUGAAGACUCUGGCGACUUUCAUCCUUCUGACUCUGAUCUGCUUCCUGCAUCACAGCUCUGCAUCUGCCAACGGUGCAGUGUUGGCGACUACAGACGGAUGCUGUAUGAACCACACUCGGAUGAUAAUUCCUAAGCAGAAGGUGAGACAUGUGGCGGAGAACCCAAGUCACUGCGAAACCAAAGCGAUUAUAGUCACGUCUGUGUGUGAUAAGCUGUAUUGUAUUGAUCCUGAUUCCCGAUGGGCAAAGAACCUGUUGGCAGAAUUUGAGAAGUUCCCUGAUAAGACGUCUCCACCUGCUCCUUUCAAUCGCUCCAAGUGUAGAAAAUAUAGAAAAAAAUAGUGAUGUGGUGUGAGAAUGCUGUUCCUUUGUGUACUGCAAUGACGUGUAAAUUAUCUAUUCUACUGGUUGUUGUAAUUGAUAAUCAAUGAUAAUUACUUGAAAUACUUUCUAGAAUAUUAAACACACCAGCCAAAGUUUUGUCUAAGAUUAGAAAAUAACAAGUGGUACUACGGUUUAUUACUGACUUUUUUAAAUGUAUGUUUAUUAAUACUACACGAGCUAAUGUCUCUUUCUGUGAUGAAUGUUUUGAGUGUGUGAACAUCAGAGUUGAAAAUUUAAAAUUAAGAAUAAAAUCCAUGAACCUUGAUGUUUAACUCCCUGCUGCCAUUUAGUAUUAUAUGUUUCAAACUGCAUUUGACAAAUGAGUAUCAUGUGAUGUAUCAAUAGAUGACAUCUGAUGACAGUAAACACUAUUUUGUUCAGAAAAUGUCACGUUGUUGUUCAUGAUUUAGACUCUGCUGGUUAAAUGAUGUUACUUGGAGUUGAACAUCUGGUUCCUUGAUUGUCAUUUUAGACCUUUUAUCAGGUUAUGAUGGACACACAAAUCAAUCAUGUCAUUUCCUCCACUUGAACAUAUGAAGGAGAGUCGUCGAUGUUUCAGGCAGUUUGUGUUACAGUCUCCUCCGUGAGGACAGCAGGUUGGAGGGAAAAAAUCGAUUACUGGACUUUUCAGUGUUUCCAUUGUUUCUGGUUUGAGUGGAAGUAAGCGUGCCAACAACA
This is an RNA transcript of Thunnus maccoyii (southern bluefin tuna), 1425 nucleotides long. It is a transcript of the gene named C-C motif chemokine 7-like, with no coding region annotated. The transcript is spliced from 5 exons. NCBI's taxonomy places the organism in Eukaryota, Metazoa, Chordata, Actinopteri, Scombriformes, Scombridae. The record is from RefSeq and is a predicted model, not a curated record.